GGAAGCCUUUGGGUUGUAACCUCUUUUCUCAGGGAAGAAGAUCUGACGGUACUUGAGGAAUAACAUCGGCUACUCCGUGCCAGCAGCCGCGGUAAUACGGAGGAUGCAAGCGUUAUCCGGAAUUAUUGGGCGUAAAGCGUCCGCAGGUGGUCUUUCAAGGCUGCUGUCAAAGACCAGGCUUAACUCUGGGCGGGCGGGGGGAAACUGAAAAACUCCAGUUUCGGAAGGGUACCCCGAAUUUCCCGGGUAGGGGGAAAUGCGUAAAUAUUGGGAAAAACAUCGG
RNAcentral lists this ribosomal RNA (283 nucleotides) under uncultured cyanobacterium. RNAcentral describes it as "partial 16S ribosomal RNA". It matches the Rfam family "Bacterial small subunit ribosomal RNA", at positions 410 to 712 of the family's 1533-position model. The record is from RNAcentral. Lineage: Bacteria; Bacillati; Cyanobacteriota.